This 108-nucleotide non-coding RNA is filed under the name Clostridium sp. RNAcentral's name for it is "SAM-I sequence". It matches the Rfam family "SAM riboswitch aptamer (S box leader)". Rfam says of the family: The SAM riboswitch is found upstream of a number of genes which code for proteins involved in methionine or cysteine biosynthesis in Gram-positive bacteria. The SAM riboswitch acts at the level of transcription termination control. Lineage: Bacteria; Bacillati; Bacillota; Clostridia; Eubacteriales; Clostridiaceae. RNAcentral also lists the same sequence under 1 other name. The record is from RNAcentral.
CUCUUAUUCAGAGUGGUGGAGUCAGAAGGGACUACGAAGCCACGGCAACCCCAUUGUUAUUUGGAAGGUGCCGGCCUGAAGCGAGUUGAGAUACUCGGUCAAUAAGAG